This 287-nucleotide unclassified non-coding RNA is filed under the name Hevea brasiliensis (rubber tree). The record is from RNAcentral. Lineage: Eukaryota; Viridiplantae; Streptophyta; Magnoliopsida; Malpighiales; Euphorbiaceae.
AGAAAGGGACUUGGAGUCACAGCAGCAUGAUCGAUUCUCUGGUGUAGUGAAAAAUCGUCAGAUGUAUGAGCUUCAUGAUGUAAAUUAGACUUAUCAUAUGUCAAGGGAGAGGAGCACGAUCAUCAUUAGUGCCACUGCACUAGUAUUAGAUUCUUAUUUGGCUUCAAGCAUAAAUUAACUGGAAGCUUAACAAAGGCAAAAGUGAGUAGGAUCAUUGCAAUUUCUAACACUAAGAAAGUCUAAAGAUGUUCUUAGAGGAUAAUUUGCACUGGUUAGUGGUUAAACUG